Rattus rattus (black rat) is the source of this 138-nucleotide small nucleolar RNA. RefSeq annotates it as small nucleolar RNA SNORA17. The transcript has a single exon. NCBI's taxonomy places the organism in Eukaryota, Metazoa, Chordata, Mammalia, Rodentia, Muridae. The record is from RefSeq and is a predicted model, not a curated record.
ACACCCCUAGAAGUAUCAUGGGGGGGGUGGUUGGCUACUGUGUCACAUGUGCAUCUGUAGGUGGCUGAGCGGAGAGAGGCUAUGUCUGUGCUCAGUGUUCUGACCUGUGAUCAUCUGAGUGAUUAGUAGACUACCAUU